RNAcentral lists this ribosomal RNA (703 nucleotides) under Burkholderia cepacia. RNAcentral's name for it is "bacterial SSU rRNA". It matches the Rfam family "Bacterial small subunit ribosomal RNA", at positions 381 to 1075 of the family's 1533-position model. Lineage: Bacteria; Pseudomonadati; Pseudomonadota; Betaproteobacteria; Burkholderiales; Burkholderiaceae. The record is from RNAcentral.
GCCUGAUCCAGCAAUGCCGCGUGUGUGAAGAAGGCCUUCGGGUUGUAAAGCACUUUUGUCCGGAAAGAAAUCCUUGGCUCUAAUACAGUCGGGGGAUGACGGUACCGGAAGAAUAAGCACCGGCUAACUACGUGCCAGCAGCCGCGGUAAUACGUAGGGUGCAAGCGUUAAUCGGAAUUACUGGGCGUAAAGCGUGCGCAGGCGGUUUGCUAAGACCGAUGUGAAAUCCCCGGGCUCAACCUGGGAACUGCAUUGGUGACUGGCAGGCUAGAGUAUGGCAGAGGGGGGUAGAAUUCCACGUGUAGCAGUGAAAUGCGUAGAGAUGUGGAGGAAUACCGAUGGCGAAGGCAGCCCCCUGGGCCAAUACUGACGCUCAUGCACGAAAGCGUGGGGAGCAAACAGGAUUAGAUACCCUGGUAGUCCACGCCCUAAACGAUGUCAACUAGUUGUUGGGGAUUCAUUUCCUUAGUAACGUAGCUAACGCGUGAAGUUGACCGCCUGGGGAGUACGGUCGCAAGAUUAAAACUCAAAGGAAUUGACGGGGACCCGCACAAGCGGUGGAUGAUGUGGAUUAAUUCGAUGCAACGCGAAAAACCUUACCUACCCUUGACAUGGNCGGAAUCCUGCCGAGAGGCGGGAGUGCUCGAAAGAGAACNGGCGCACAGGUGCUGCAUGGCUGUCGACNGCUCGUGUCGUGAGAUGU